UGGGGGAUAUUGCACAAUGGGCGAAAGCCUGAUGCAGCGACGCCGCGUGGGGGAUGAAGGCUUUCGGGUUGUAAACCUCUUUCGCUAUCGAACAAGGCCCGCUUAGGGUGGGUUGAGGGUAGGUGGAGAAGUAGCGCCGGCUAACUACGUGCCAGCAGCCGCGGUAAUACGUAGGGCGCGAGCGUUGUCCGGAAUUAUUGGGCGUAAAGGGCUUGUAGGCGGCUUGUUGCGCCUGCUGUGAAAACGCGGGGCUUAACUUCGCGCGUGCAGUGGGUACGGGCAGGCUUGAGUGUGGUAGGGGUGACUGGAAUUCCAGGUGUAGCGGUGGAAUGCGCAGAUAUCUGGAGGAACACCGAUGGCGAAGGCAGGUCACUGGGCCAUUACUGACGCUGAGGAGCGAAAGCAUGGGUAGCGAACAGG
This 420-nucleotide ribosomal RNA is filed under the name bacterium. RNAcentral describes it as "partial 16S ribosomal RNA". It matches the Rfam family "Bacterial small subunit ribosomal RNA", at positions 355 to 776 of the family's 1533-position model. The record is from RNAcentral.